AUGAACUGCACUGUUAAUGAUGUGCUAGUCGGAGUCACUUCUGCUGCUCUAUCACAAUAUUACUUUCGUAAGUCUGGUUACCCUAAGACACGCAAACUAUGUUUGCGAUGUGUCCUCCCUGUAAAUACAAGGCCAACAGCUAGCCUACAAACAUAUGUUAAUAUGAUAGAAUCGGGUAAAAGUAAUGAUGUGGCAUGGGGAAAUCAAAUAGGCUACAUCCUCCUUCCAUUUCAAUUAGUGGUACACGAUGAUCCACUUGCAUAUGUUCGGAAGGCAAAGAAGACCUUGGAUAGAAAAAAGAGCUCACUUGAAGUUAUCUUCACGUGUAAGAUUAGCGAGCUUUUUGUCAAAAUGUUUGGCCUGAAGGCAGGUGCUUUUAUCAUCGGUCGUAUGCUCACGAAUACAACUACUACGUUCUCGAACAUGGUUGGACCAACAGAGCAAGUAGAGUUCUAUGGACACCCAUUUGUCUCCAUUGCACCUACCGUUUAUGGUAUUCCACAAGCUUUAGUUGUACACUAUCAGAGUUACAAUAGCACUAUUAAGGUAAUUCUGUCAGUCGAUGAGGAAAUAAUUCCAAAUUAUACUCAACUUCUGGAUGACUUUGUUGAGUCUUUCGGGCACAUUAAGGAUGCGGCUUCAAGGCUUUCAACACAUGUCAAGAAGGGAUAA
This 672-nucleotide ribosomal RNA is filed under the name Triticum aestivum (bread wheat). Its description in RNAcentral is "partial small subunit ribosomal RNA". The record is from RNAcentral. Lineage: Eukaryota; Viridiplantae; Streptophyta; Magnoliopsida; Poales; Poaceae.